AAGAAUUCAAGAGUUCAAAGGUCAAAAUUAUGGCCAUAAAUGAUAAUGGCAUUAUAAUUCUUAAAAAUCGCCAUAAAUUUGAUUCUCCUGUUUUGUGAAGACAGCAUCAUGCUAAAUAGUCUGUGUCAAUGCGGCAUGUGGGGGUAUAUGUCACGUCUGUGACAAAGCUCUAGUUUGUUUUGCACUUUUAAUGGUGAUAUUUUUAACCAGGUUUUCCGAAGGAAAAAACUGGUUAUUAGAUUGGCGAAUGCGGGCGGGCUGGCUGGCUGGCGGGCUGGCUGGCUGGCGGGCUGGCUGGCUGGCUGGCGGGCUGGCGGAAUAAGCUUGUCCGGGCCAUAACUAUUUCGUUCAUUGUCAGAUUUUAAAAUCAUUUGGCACAUUUGUUCACCAUCAUUGGACGGUGUGUCGCGCGAAAUAAUUACGUCGAUAUCUCCAAGGUCAAGGUCACACUUUGAGUUCAAAGGUCAAAAAUGGCCAUAAAUGAGCUUGUCCUGGCCAUAACUAUGUCAUUCAUUGUGAGAUUUUAAAAUCAUUUGGCACAUUUGUUCACCAUCAUGGGACGGUGUGUCCCACGAAAGAUUCACGUCAAUAUCUCCAAUGUCAAGGUCGCCACGACUAAAAAUAGAUUUAAAAAAAAAAAAAAACUUACAAAGGGGGUUAAUUUUUUUUGGUCAUUUCAAAAGUUCAGUUUGAGUUUUCUCCCUUUAUCAGAUU
Dreissena polymorpha is the source of this 714-nucleotide long non-coding RNA. RefSeq lists it as uncharacterized. The transcript is spliced from 2 exons. Lineage: Eukaryota; Metazoa; Mollusca; Bivalvia; Myida; Dreissenidae. The record is from RefSeq and is a predicted model, not a curated record.